Regulatory RNA element from Rhodoferax antarcticus ANT.BR, 94 nucleotides. It matches the Rfam family "SucA RNA motif". NCBI's taxonomy places the organism in Bacteria, Pseudomonadati, Pseudomonadota, Betaproteobacteria, Burkholderiales, Comamonadaceae. The record is from Rfam.
UCGCAUCCGCCAAACGGUCAAGCCGUGACGCGGGAGGUUAACUAAUCCUAGCUUUAACCAGCUAAAGCUCCCUGAAGGGGAGUGAAAGUCAGCG